AACGAACGCUGGCGGCAGGCCUAACACAUGCAAGUCGAGCGAACCCUUCGGGGUUAGCGGCGGACGGGUUAGUAACGCGUGGGAAUAUACCCUUUGGUACGGAAUAGCCUCGGGAAACUGAGAGUAAUACCGUAUGUGCCCUUCGGGGGAAAGAUUUAUCGCCAAAGGAUUAGCCCGCGUUGGAUUAGAUAGUUGGUGGGGUAAUGGCCUACCAAGUCUACGAUCCAUAGCUGGUUUGAGAGGAUGAUCAGCAACACUGGGACUGAGACACGGCCCAGACUCCUACGGGAGGCAGCAGUGGGGAAUCUUAGACAAUGGGCGCAAGCUUGAUCUAGCCAUGCCGCGUGAGCGAUGAAGGCCUUAGGGUUGUAAAGCUCAUUCAGUGGGGAAGAUAAUGACUGUACCCACAGAAGAAGCCCCGGCUAACUCCGUG
RNAcentral lists this ribosomal RNA (433 nucleotides) under uncultured bacterium. RNAcentral describes it as "bacterial SSU rRNA". It matches the Rfam family "Bacterial small subunit ribosomal RNA", at positions 29 to 507 of the family's 1533-position model. The record is from RNAcentral.